AGAACGAACGCUGGCGGCAUGCCUAAUACAUGCAAGUCGAACGAACUCUUCGGAGUUAGUGGCGCACGGGUGCGUAACGCGUGGGAAUCUGCCCCUUGGUUCGGAAUAACAGUUGGAAACGACUGCUAAUACCGGAUGAUGACGAAAGUCCAAAGAUUUAUCGCCAAGGGAUGAGCCCGCGUAGGAUUAGCUAGUUGGUGAGGUAAAGGCUCACCAAGGCAACGAUCCUUAGCUGGUCUGAGAGGAUGAUCAGCCACACUGGGACUGAGACACGGCCAGACUCUACGGAGCAGCAGUAGGAAUAUGGACAAUGGGACGAAAGCCUGAGUCCAAGCAAGUCGCCGGCGUGAGUAGAUAGAACGG
This 363-nucleotide ribosomal RNA is filed under the name uncultured soil bacterium. Its description in RNAcentral is "bacterial SSU rRNA". It matches the Rfam family "Bacterial small subunit ribosomal RNA", at positions 26 to 421 of the family's 1533-position model. The record is from RNAcentral.